CCUAAGGUAGCGAAAUUCCUUGUCGGGUAAGUUCCGACCUGCACGAAUGGCGUAACGACUUCCCCACUGUCUCGACCAGGAGCUCGGCGAAAUUGCAGUACGAGUAAAGAUGCUCGUUAAGCGCAGAAGGACGAAAAGACCCCGGGACCUUUACUAUACCUUGGUAUUGGCAUUCGGUGUGGAUUGUGUAGCAUAGGCGGGAGGCCGAGAGGCGCGGUCGCCAGAUCGCGCGGAGCCGUAAGGUGAAAUACCGCUCUGUUCUCGUUUGAUGUCUAACCUCGAACAGUCAUCCUGUUCAGGGACAGUGCCUGGCGGGUAGUUCAACUGGGGCGGUUGCCUCCCAAAGAGUAACGGAGGCGCUCAAAGGUCCGCUCGGCCCGGUUGGCAAUCGGGUGUCGAGUGUAAUCGCACAAGCGGGCUUGACUGCGAGAUCGACGGAUCGAGCAGGGACGAAAGUCGGAGAUAGUGAUCCGGUGCCGGCGCACGGGCGCGGCAUCGCUCAACGGAUAAAAGGUACCCCGGGGAUAACAGGCUGAUCAUUCCCAAGAGUCCAUAUCGACGGGAUGGUUUGGCACCUCGAUGUCGGCUCGUCGCAUCCUGGGGCUGGAGCAGGUCCCAAGGGUUCGGCUGUUCGCCGAUCAAAGCGGCACGCGAGCUGGGUUCAGAACGUCGUGAGACAGUUUGGUCUCUAUCCUCUGCGCUCGUUGGAAUCUUGAGGAGGCCUGCCCAUAGUACGAGAGGACCUGGGUGGACGAACCUCUGGUAUGCCGGUUGUCACGCCAGUGGCACGGCCGGUUGGCUACGUUCGGAAGGGAUAACCGCUGAAAGCAUCUAAGCGGGAAGCCUGCUCCAAGAUUAGGAUUCCUUGGCACUUCGGUGCCUGUAGCCCGCAUGUUGAACACGUGUUCGAUAGGCCGGAGGUGGAAGCCCCGCGAGGGGUGGAGCCGACCGGUACUAACGGACGAAAGGCAACACAAU
Molecule: ribosomal RNA, 978 nt
Filed under: human gut metagenome
Description: bacterial LSU rRNA
Rfam family: Bacterial large subunit ribosomal RNA
Source: RNAcentral